GUGAUGAUACCUAUUUAUAAAUUUAUACGGUUAGAACCUGAGUUCUUGUGAAGAUUUUACUAGGGCGGACUGAUGAA
This is a small nucleolar RNA of Manduca sexta (tobacco hornworm), 77 nucleotides long. RefSeq annotates it as small nucleolar RNA U43. The record is from RefSeq and is a predicted model, not a curated record. NCBI's taxonomy places the organism in Eukaryota, Metazoa, Arthropoda, Insecta, Lepidoptera, Sphingidae. The transcript has a single exon.